AACGUACGCUGGCGGCACGCCUAACACAUGCAAGUCGAACGAAGUAGCAAUACUUAGUGGCAGACGGGUGAGUAACAUGUAGGUAUCUGCCCUUUGGCCUGGAAUAACACGAGGAAACUUGUGCUAAUACCGGAUAAGUCUUUACGGAGAAAGCUUUAUGCACCAUUGGAUGAGCCUGCACUUGAUUAGUUUGUUGGUGGGGUAAUGGCCUACCAAGACUGUGAUCAAUAGCUGAUUUGAGAGGAUGAUCAGCCACAUUGGGACUGAGACACGGCCCAAACUCCUACGGGAGGCAGCAGUGGGGAAUCUUGCACAAUGGAGGAAACCCUGAUGCAGCGAUGCCGCGUGAGUGAAGAAGGCCCUUGGGUUGUAAAGCUCUUUCGUCGGGGAAGAAAAUGACUGUACCCGAAUAAGAAGGUCCGGCUAACUUCGUGCCAGCAGCCGCGGUAAUACGAAGGGACCUAGCGUAGUUCGGAAUUACUGGGCUUAAAGAGUUCGUAGGUGGUUGAAAAAGUUAGUGGUGAAAUCCCAGAGCUUAACUCUGGAACUGCCAUUAAAACUUUUCAGCUAGAGUAUGAUAGAGGAAAGCAGAAUUUCUAGUGUAGAGGUGAAAUUCGUAGAUAUUAGAAAGAAUACCAAUUGCGAAGGCAGCUUUCUGGAUCAUUACUGACACUGAGGAACGAAAGCAUGGGUAGCGAAGAGGAUUAGAUACCCUCGUAGUCCAUGCCGUAAACGAUGUGUGUUAGACGUUGGAAAUUUAUUUUCAGUGUCGCAGGGAAACCGAUAAACACACCGCCUGGGGAGUACGACCGCAAGGUUAAAACUCAAAUGAAUUGACGGGGACCCGCACAAGUAGUGGAGCAUGUGGUUUAAUUCGAAGAUACGCGCAGAACCUUACCAACACUUGACAUGUUCGUCGCGACUCUAAGAGAUUAGAGUUUUCGGUUCGGCCGGACGAAACACAGGUGCUGCAUGGCUGUCGUCAGCUCGUGUCGUGAGAUGUUGGGUUAAGUCCCGCAACGAGCGCAACCCUCACUUUUAGUUGCCAUCAUUAAGUUGGGCACUCUGAAAGAACUGCCAGUGAUAAGCUGGAGGAAGGUGGGGAUGACGUCAAGUCCUCAUGGCCCUUACGUGUUGGGCUACACACGUGCUACAAUGGUAUCUACAACAGGAAGCAAGACUGCGAAGUUAAGCAAAUCCCUAAAAGAUACCUCAGUUCGGAUUGCACUCUGCAAACUCGAGUGCAUGAAGCUGGAAUUACUAGUAAUCGUGGAUCAGCGUGCCACGGUGAAAUGCGUUCCCGGGUCU
Molecule: ribosomal RNA, 1308 nt
Filed under: uncultured bacterium
Lineage: Bacteria
Description: bacterial SSU rRNA
Rfam family: Bacterial small subunit ribosomal RNA
Source: RNAcentral